GGUUCCAUGGUGUUGUCAUCACACAUACUUGACACACAGAAAAUCCUGGGUUUAAUUCCCAGUGGAACCU
Molecule: transfer RNA, 70 nt
Filed under: Bos taurus (domestic cattle)
Lineage: Eukaryota; Metazoa; Chordata; Mammalia; Artiodactyla; Bovidae
Also listed under: 3 other names
Rfam family: tRNA
About the family: Transfer RNA (tRNA) molecules are approximately 80 nucleotides in length.
Source: Rfam by way of RNAcentral